CACACACACACACACACACACACACACACAAGCAGUGUAUUCAAUGCAUUGAUUUUGUCACUGUAUCAUUUGUUCACUUGUAUACUGUAAACUGUAUAUAUACAGUUUUUCACUUUAUUUCAAAUGAAACCUGAGCAAGAUAAGACAAAUCUGUGAUUAAAUGACUGCCAUCUGUCCACCACCGCAUCUGAACACACAAAACAUCAAUCUCCUUGACAACACGUGAUGGAGUAUGGACCAGGCAAACAGAGUUGUGUGGGUCAGUGAACCAUAGACAUAAGAUCACAAUGUCACUAAGAGGGGCAUUAAUUCACCCAUCAAGGCAAUUAUCUCUUGUUUGUUAUCUCCCUCAUCCUCUGUUUUUUUCCCUUACAGUAAGAAGCUCCAAGCAUAUGGUGUGGUGCUCUGAAAAGGAGGCAAACUCUGUUAACUAGAAAACACACACACACACACACACACACACACACACACACACACACACACACACUCUUUCCUCUAGGAUGCCGAGGGUAUUUGAAACCCUUUGCGAUCGCAAAGAAUGUCAAAUAAAGAAUCAUGAAAAGAAGACAUGUAAACUAUUUGCAAGGUAAAUGCAGCCUAGUUGUACGGGAAAUACAUACAAAUUCCAACAUCUGCUGCCAGUGAUGAAACAAAACCCAUUGUUCUUUUGCCGGGGUGAAAAGAAACUUUUUUUAAGACGCAAUAAUAACAAAAAGGGAAAUCUUUGUUCUGCUUUGGUUUAACAUAAGAAAGACAAACGUGGUCUGAUAUCGUACCUUUACUCACAUUUUCUCUUUUAUUAUGCACCUGCAAAAAGAGAGAGAGAGAGAGAGAGAGAAAAAAAAUAUCCAUCGCCUGGUGAAUCUCCGACAUGCUUUGAACUAAUCAGGAAUUGGGAUCCUUUUGAAUUUGACUUUAUUAUCCAGCAAAGUCAUUUUUUUUUCUCGCUCUCUCUUUCAGGCAGACGAGACGAGAUCAGAUAGAUGGAGUCGUGUUGAGGAUCAUGCAGAUCCAAUCAUUAAAGCGAGAUAAGAUGCCCAGCAGGUGUGUCGGCUCGUCAGUUAUUGGGAACACCUGGGACCGGUGUUCCCAGUGCUAUGAGAGCACGUCCCACUGAUUCAUUGACAGAUUCUGAAAGAGAGAGAAAGGGGACACUUUGCUCUCUCCGCUCGCGCCAUGCUCAUCCUGGCGUACUUUUCACGAUACAACACCCCACUUACUGACCUAGCAUGCAUGCAUACACGGCACGCUAACACUACUGAUUCACUGACUGCCACAUCUCACCAUAGUUUUGCCUGUUAGUGUCCUCGUUAGUCGCUAAUAAAUUAACAGAUAAUGUUUUAAAUGGUUUUAAAUCUGUGUGAACUUCUGUUAUUUGUCAUGUCUGUGAGCCGGACAUGACAAUUGAUGUUUGGAAGUUCUAUCCUUACUUUAUAAUAAACAGUUAAACUUUA
Long non-coding RNA from Clupea harengus (Atlantic herring), 1454 nucleotides. RefSeq lists it as uncharacterized. The record is from RefSeq and is a predicted model, not a curated record. NCBI's taxonomy places the organism in Eukaryota, Metazoa, Chordata, Actinopteri, Clupeiformes, Clupeidae. The transcript has 2 exons.